UCCUCUCAUUCUUCCAACGUCCUAUCUCUCUCACUCCUCUCAAGAAAGAAAUCAAAAAGUCCCCCCAUCUUCUACUUCUAGGGUUUUGGUUCUAGGGUUCAAUCAAGUUCUUGGAGCAAGAUUCAAUCUCAAAUCCAUCUCUGACCCAAGUGUUUGAAGCUCUCUCAAUCCAUGAUUUAAACCUAAAAGAGGAUUUGGUGAUUAAGCAAAGGAUACAAGGGAUACAAGUUGAUGUUUAGUUGAAGUGCAAAGGAAGGUGAUGAAGUAUGAUAGCUUAUAGGUGCAAUGUUUUGUGCAAGUUUGGGCUUCAUGGAAUCGUUUUGCAUAUAGAAAUGAAGUAGAAAGAAGACAUGUAUUUUUGGGCAUAUUUUGUACUUGUUCCCCUUAUGAUCAAGGAUG
This is a long non-coding RNA of Rhododendron vialii, 399 nucleotides long. RefSeq lists it as uncharacterized. The record is from RefSeq and is a predicted model, not a curated record. NCBI's taxonomy places the organism in Eukaryota, Viridiplantae, Streptophyta, Magnoliopsida, Ericales, Ericaceae. The transcript is spliced from 3 exons.